Molecule: long non-coding RNA, 306 nt
Organism: Manduca sexta (tobacco hornworm)
Lineage: Eukaryota; Metazoa; Arthropoda; Insecta; Lepidoptera; Sphingidae
Exons: 3
Source: RefSeq, a predicted model, not a curated record
CAGGUAGUCCGAGGUGUCCACAUCGAGCCAGCUCACAUAGUCAAGAAACGUAGCAUAGACCAACCAUUAAGAAUAAGCAUAUACUACGACCAUUCUGUGUAUAGGUUAGAAUCGGAGAAGUUUUUAAUGAUUAAUGACACAAUUCUCCCUGAAGCCGUAAAAUUUUGGGAGCAAGCGCUGAAAGUGAGGAAGACUGGAGGGCCUAUCAAAUUAAAUAGGUAAGAUCAAUGACGUUUUACAAAUAGAUGCGUCAUAGACUAACAAAAUUGCACAUAAAAACAGCGCAGUAUUUACUAUAGUCACAUA